AAAUUGAAGGUUCAAUAGAUGGCUUUCUAUGGCUACAAUGAUGAUGAUGCUGGUGAGUACCAUUGGACUCCUAAUUUUAAUGUCUCUUAUGAUUAUGAUGCUUUUCCAAUGUCAUAUCCUUCCUAUGGGCAAAGUACUAAUUACAAUUACUACCAUACUACUCAAAUACAUCCACAAUUCACUUACUCUGUACACAACUCUGUUGAGCCAAAACUUAUCCAAUAUGAAAAGGGGGCUGAUUCAUUGGAGACAAGAACUGUAAUUUCUUGUUAUACCAAAGAACUGGAUGAUACUCAGUUUGAUGAAUAUGAUCCAACCCCUUAUGAUGGUGGUUUUGAUAUGGCGCAAACCUAUGGAAAACCCCUUCCUCCCUCAAAUGAAAUAUGUUAUCCUCGUUCGACCCUCAAGUCUAAUGGACUUCCAUUAGAUGGUUUCGACUAUGGAUCAAAUAAUUUGCCCUAUGUAAAUCACGCCAAUCAGCUAGAACAACUUCAGAAUCAAAAGAAAGGGAAUGGUGUUAAAGAUGAGCAAAAAUCUUCAUCUGGUGUGAAAGAAAAAACCAGUUUUGGAAAACCUGCUCAACAAGAUCAAGAUUUUGUAAUCGAUAAUGGGAAAACAGGGGAAAAACCCAUUCUUGAAAAACCAGUAGAACCCCUUCAACAAGAUCAAGAUUUUGUAGUUGAUAAUGGGAGUAUAGGGGAAUAUGGAUAUGAUUAUGGGAGGCAAUUGCAACAAAUUCCAUAUGGUUCAGGUUUGGAAUCCAUGGAUUUAUGUGAGAGCUUAUUUGGUUACUGGCCUUGCAUAGCUAAGGAAACUCAGAGAAGAAAUUGCAACUGUGCAAAUGUUGUUGAAGAUAACAGCAGCAGCUACAAUGAACAAUGGAAAUGUACUGCAGAUUAUCUGUUUGGGAAUCCUUAUGGAUAUGGUGGUGAUGGAGGAGAUUGGGAUUGUGUUUAUAGCAAUCAAAGUUACUAUAAUCAUCAGCAACAACUUUGAUUUAAUGAAGGAUUGGUAAAGAAAUACCUUAAUGCUUCAAAUAAUAAAAUAAAUAUAAAUCUUAUCAUAGUUAGGCUGUGUAGCUUUUCCUUUUUUCCUUUUAGUCAUUAUCAUUAUUGCAACUGUUAAUUACACUUUUGAUCCCUCAAUUAUUAGUAACUUGCAAUUAUGCGGCUGAACUGCAUUACCCUUUGAUUAUAAAUUCCCGUUAUAU
This 1210-nucleotide unclassified non-coding RNA is filed under the name Hevea brasiliensis (rubber tree). The record is from RNAcentral. Lineage: Eukaryota; Viridiplantae; Streptophyta; Magnoliopsida; Malpighiales; Euphorbiaceae.